This 497-nucleotide ribosomal RNA is filed under the name uncultured bacterium. RNAcentral's name for it is "partial 16S ribosomal RNA". It matches the Rfam family "Bacterial small subunit ribosomal RNA", at positions 28 to 507 of the family's 1533-position model. The record is from RNAcentral.
GAUGAACGCUGGCGGCGUGCCUAAUACAUGCAAGUCGAGCGAACGGACGAGAAGCUUGCUUUUCUGAUGUUAGCGGCGGACGGGUGAGUAACACGUGGAUAACCUACCUAUAAGACUGGGAUAACUUCGGGAAACCGGAGCUAAUACCGGAUAAUAUUUUGAACCGCAGGGUUCAAAAGUGAAAGACGGUCUUGCUGUCACUUAUAGAUGGAUCCGCGCUGCAUUAGCUAGUUGGUAAGGUAACGGCUUACCAAGGCAACGAUGCAUAGCCGACCUGAGAGGGUGAUCGGCCACACUGGAGCUGAGACACGGUCCAGACUCCUACGGGAGGCAGCAGUAGGGAAUGUUACGCAAUGGGCGAAAGCCUGACGGAGCAACGCCGCGUGAGUGAUGAAGGUCUUCGGAUCGUAAAACUCUGUUAUUAGGGAAGAACAGAUGUGUAAGUAACUGUGCACAUCGUGACGGUACCUAAUCAGAAAGCCACGGCUAACUACGUG